Molecule: long non-coding RNA, 300 nt
Organism: Neomonachus schauinslandi (Hawaiian monk seal)
Lineage: Eukaryota; Metazoa; Chordata; Mammalia; Carnivora; Phocidae
Exons: 2
Source: RefSeq, a predicted model, not a curated record
AUGGACAUAUCUCAGCAGGAGAUGGAAAGGAAUAUAACUAGAGAACUAGAAGAAGCUGCUGCUGAAAUUGAAUCAGACUGAUGGUGUAAGACCUCCUCUUUAGAAUCUACUUAUGAAUCACAUGUAAAUGACAAUCUACUAGUGAAAUCGUCCAAAGAAUAUUUACAGAUUUUGAAGAAAAAUUAUAUGUUCUGAAAGACAAACAGUAAAAUUUAUUUACUGGAUGUUUGUAUAACAUUUUAAUUGUGUCCUACUAAACGUAUUGUGUGAAAAUCUUGAAUAAAGGAAAAUUGUUCCGGA